AUGGGUGUGUGUGUGUGUGUUGUGUGGGGGUGCUCGGUGCCUCAGUGGCGGCCCACGAGUAAAGUCCCUGGCCAAGAGGCAGACGGAGGACUGGAGCGCUACCCCAUGGCAGGCCGACAGGAGGAUAAGAUGCGAUCGGAAGGAUGCGAAAAGACUGGAUGGGGAAUUGAGGGGGCUGGAGAGGCCCGAGCUGCCUGUCUGCCCCUGGGAGAAGGAGGAGACGUCCCCAAACUGCCCCUACCUCUCAAGCGCGGGGUUGGGGGGAGUGGUCGGCGCAGCCCUGCAGAGGAGACCGAGGGCAUUCAUUGCUCAGCGGAGCUGGAACUACGUCACCCGUGUGAAGUCCUGGACCCCCAGAUUCUAAGGGAAUCUCAAGCUGAGCGAGGAAGCCUGUUCUUCACAUCUCAAGACCCAACUGUCCUCAGAGCCCACUUUCAGAGCCUCACCCCUUCCCCACAGAGCAGUGUUGAGAGACUCUGUUCAUCCUAAUCAUGGGAGAAUAGAUCUGGAGCUGGAAGAGAUUGCAGAGGCCAUGAGGUCCAACGCUCCCAUUUUACAUAUGAAGAGACUGAUACCUGGGGAGGUGAAGUGAUUUGUGUGAGGUCACACAGACAGCAAGCAUCAAGGGCAGGAUUUGAACCCAGUUCUUUGGGUUCCAGAAGCAGUGCUCUUUCCAUUGUACCAGGUUGAGGGGUCCUUGCUGCUGAUCUCAUCUGAACUAUUCCUUUUACAGAAGAGGAAACUGAGGCCCAGGGAGAGGGAAGUGAGUGGCUCAAAGUCACAUAGGAAGCAAGUAGCAGACACAGGACUGCUAAAAAGAUUCUGGGUCCCAAUCUAGUGCCCCUUCCACUCUACAUCUGCUCCUGGGCGUCUCAACCUGGAGGGUUGCCUGAUUGGUUAGAGAAAAUCCAUUUUAAGGAAAAUGUCCUGUUCAUUCAUGUCUUCAUUCCUUUCAGGGCUUCACUCCUGACUCUUUAGACUUUCAACCUCCUUCCCUGCCCCUCCCCCUUCCUCUCUUUCCUCCUCUUUUUACUUGUCUUCCUCCAUUAGAAACUAAGCUCCCUGAGGGCAGGGACUGUCUUUCUGCAUCUAUUUAUAAUAGCUUAAAAAAAAAUCUGCUUCCUGACUUGACUCAACUCACCCAUUAUAUUGAGUUAGAUUGAGAAAAAAUCCCAGUGUGUCCCAGCACACUGGAGCAGACCACUGACUUUUAAGUCAGAUGACCUGAGUUCCAAUCUCACCUCUAUCUGCUUAUUACCCAUGUGAUCUCUUGUAAGUCACUUCCCCUUUUUGUGCCUCAGUGUCCUCAUCUGUAAAAUGGACCAGAUAGACAUGAAGGUUUCCAGAUCUAAAUCUAGGAUUACAGCCCUGUUGGAGAGAUGAGCACCGUAAGGGUCCCCAGAGAAGAGAAACAAGUUAUUCCAUGCUGGACACACAGUAGCGACCUAUGACUAUUCUGAGUUUUUAAAGCAGUUCGUGUUAAGCCGACUUUGGCCGUGACUGAAUUUUCCCCAACUAGACUCAGGUGGGGACUAUGUCAUGUACACAGUAGGCAUUUAAUAAAUGUUUGCUGAAUUGAAUUGUAUCCA
Phascolarctos cinereus (koala) is the source of this 1589-nucleotide long non-coding RNA. The record is from Ensembl. NCBI's taxonomy places the organism in Eukaryota, Metazoa, Chordata, Mammalia, Diprotodontia, Phascolarctidae.